CCUACGGGAGGCAGCAGUGAGGAAUAUUGGUCAAUGGGCGCGAGCCUGAACCAGCCAAGUCGCGUGAGGGAGGACGGCCCUACGGGUUGUAAACCUCUUUUGCCGGGGAGCAACGGGCGUCACGUGUGGCGCCACUGAGAGUAUCCGGAGAAAAAGCAUCGGCUAACACCGUGCCAGCACCCGGGGUAAUACGGAGGAUGCGAGCUUUAUCGGGAUUUAUUGGGUUAACGGGGUGCGUAGGCGGAUCGUUAGGUCAGUGGGCAACUUGAGGGGCUAAACCCAUUACCGCCAUUGAAACUGGCACUCUUGAGUGGAAGAGAGGUAGGCGGAAUGCGUGGUGUAGCGGUGAAAUGCAUAGAUAUCACGCAGAACCCCGAUUGCGAAGGCAGCAUACCGGCCUGCGACUGACGCUGAAGCACGAAAGCGUGGGGAUCGAACAGGAUUAGAUACCCGUGUAGUC
RNAcentral lists this ribosomal RNA (460 nucleotides) under uncultured bacterium. RNAcentral's name for it is "partial 16S ribosomal RNA". It matches the Rfam family "Bacterial small subunit ribosomal RNA", at positions 338 to 795 of the family's 1533-position model. The record is from RNAcentral.